This 1192-nucleotide long non-coding RNA is filed under the name Cottoperca gobio. Its description in RNAcentral is "lncRNA (ENSCGOG00000024437.1)". Lineage: Eukaryota; Metazoa; Chordata; Actinopteri; Perciformes; Bovichtidae. The record is from RNAcentral.
GCAGCUAAAAUCAUGGGAAAAUAUGUUAUCAAAAGAACUGCACUAAAAUAUUUAAGUGUAAGUAUAUAAAAUCCCAACGAAAGACUGCACUAAAAACCAAGACCAUAUGCUUAUGCUACUAAAUAUAUGCAAUGAUUAAUGAAUAUGCAAGUGUAGGAGAUGCUGUAAAUUAUAUUGUAUUGUUAUAGCAAGGAGGUUCAUUGGAAUUACAUGGAUCAGUAUUAUUAAUAACAACUAUACUGAAUAUAUACAUGUGCAGCUAUGUACUGCACAGUAUGUACAGGUGGUCAUAUAGCCUACAUAAGUAGUAUUUUGUCCAGUCAAAAAGCAUUUCCAUAGUUCAUUUGAUGAAAAAAAAGAUCACAUAAGUCAUUAUAAUGAGAAACUUUCUCAAAAUAAUGGGUUAGUAUCUCAAAAUAAUGGGUUAGUAUCUCAAAAUAAUGGGUUAGUAUCUCAAAAAUAUUGAGAAACUUUCUCAGGAUCUUUUUUGUCUUCAUCCCAUGGCAACUUUUUUGGAGUUUUAAGUUUGGCUGAUAAGGAGCAGCACGUUCUCUCUUCUGCCUGCAAUGACACACCGCACCGGGCUGUUGUUUAGUCAGUGGGAUGAAACGGAUCGCAGUAGGCUAAACCGGAGGAUCUAGCUGGCAUGUCCGCGUAAGACUUUGUUCUUUUAUAAUACAUUUGAAAAAACAGUCAAUCUCCACGCUGGGACAGGUGUUGCUGAACAGCUAACGUCCGGCUAUGAGAGUCCUCCUCCGGUGGUUGACGGCGCCUCCUGCAGGGAAGUGUUCACUCCCACAACGACAUGGCUGCUGCAGUCAGGAUGAGGACGUGGAGCUGUCCGACCAGAGGAGUUUUUUAUCCAUGGGCAGUCCUUUUUUUAGUUUUUCUCAGCACCUUAAAUGCGGUUGUUGCGGCACCAGAGACAGGGCUUUGGAAAAUCACAGUUGUAAAUACCUCAAGACCCCUGCUGUUAAGGAAAUCCAUGUAUAAAGACACUGACAUUGAAUUGAAAGUUGUGCGUUUUGGCUGUCCUGAGGAGGUGACCUUCGAUAUUCACUGGUAUUUAAAAUACUACCCCUGUCACAACUGAAUUCAACAAUAUUGAAGUAAGUACAGACGCUUAAUGGCAAACUAAUUAUCAAGACAGUCUGUCUAUCUGGACUCGAUUGUUUCUGAAUGCUGAAUCGUG